AACGAACGCUGGCGGCAGGCCUAACACAUGCAAGUCGAACGCUCCGCAAGGGGAGUGGCGCACGGGUGAGUAACACGUGGGAACCUACCUUCUGGUACGGAACAACCAAGGGAAACUUUGGCUAAGACCGUAUACGACCUCCGGGUGAAAGAUUGAUCGCCGGAAGAGGGGCCCGCGUCCGAUUAGGUAGUUGGUGAGGUAACGGCUCACCAAGCCUUCGAUCGGUAGCUGGUCUGAGAGGAUGACCAGCCACACUGGGACUGAGACACGGCCCAGACUCCUACGGGAGGCAGCAGUGGGGAAUAUUGGACAAUGGGGGCAACCCUGAUCCAGCGACGCCGCGUGUGUGAAGAAGGCCUGCGGGUUGUAAAGCACUUUUAGU
Molecule: ribosomal RNA, 382 nt
Filed under: uncultured bacterium
Lineage: Bacteria
Description: bacterial SSU rRNA
Rfam family: Bacterial small subunit ribosomal RNA
Source: RNAcentral